Molecule: non-coding RNA, 45 nt
Organism: Ixodes scapularis (black-legged tick)
Lineage: Eukaryota; Metazoa; Arthropoda; Arachnida; Ixodida; Ixodidae
Source: Rfam
CACAUGGUCUCUUUCGAGACCACAGAUAAAAACAAGCAAACAUAU